Long non-coding RNA from Bradysia coprophila, 144 nucleotides. The record is from RefSeq and is a predicted model, not a curated record. Lineage: Eukaryota; Metazoa; Arthropoda; Insecta; Diptera; Sciaridae.
CGUGUUAAGCGAAAAAAGAGUAUCACAUUUGUGUUUUUGCUUUUAAAGAACUUUCGAGAGCUUUAAACUUCUUUUGUAUUCCACUGAAAUAUUCCAUUCCAAUGGAAUCCAAAAUGAACUCAGAUCGUCUUGAAAAUUCUCCAA